UAAGGAAUAUUGGUCAAUGGACGCAAGUCUGAACCAGCCAUGCCGCGUGAAGGAUGAAGGUCCUCUGGAUUGUAAACUUCUUUUAUCUGGGACGAAACCCGGGAAUUCUUUCCCGAUUGACGGUACCAGAGGAAUAAGCACCGGCUAACUCCGUGCCAGCAGCCGCGGUAAUACGGAGGGUGCAAGCGUUAUCCGGAUUCACUGGGUUUAAAGGGAGCGUAGGAGGGCAGGUAAGUCAGUGGUGAAAUCUUCGAGCUUAACUCGGAAACUGCCGUUGAUACUAUCUGUCUUGAAUACCGUGGAGAUGAGCGGAAUAUGUCAUGUAGCGGUGAAAUGCUUAGAUAUGACAUAGAACACCGAUUGCGAAGGCAGCUCGUUACACGAUUAUUGACUCUGAGGCUCGAAAGCGUGGGGAUCAAACAGG
Molecule: ribosomal RNA, 424 nt
Filed under: uncultured bacterium
Lineage: Bacteria
Description: bacterial SSU rRNA
Rfam family: Bacterial small subunit ribosomal RNA
Source: RNAcentral